Molecule: RNA transcript, 2563 nt
Organism: Patiria miniata (bat star)
Lineage: Eukaryota; Metazoa; Echinodermata; Asteroidea; Valvatida; Asterinidae
Exons: 2
Source: RefSeq, a predicted model, not a curated record
CCUAUCAUGGAGACAGUGUAUUGGACAGACUCCACGUCAGUUCUUCAGUACAUCCAGAAUGAGAGUCGCAGAUUUCACACAUUUGUUGCGAAUCGCGUUUCAAGGAUACAGAGUGGAUCUGACCCAUCCCAGUGGCGGUACGUGGACACAGCCAGUAACCCGGCGGAUGAUGGCUCACGAGGAUUGACUGCAGACGCCAUGAUCAAGAACCAACGAUGGCUGAACGGACCUGAUUUCCUGUUGAAGGAAGUACAACACUGGCCACUCCCACCUGUUGUAAUCAAGGGGCCCUACCCAGAUGUGCUACCCGAUACUCUGCAGAGUGAUCCCGAGGUGAAGAAAGUUGUCCAGUCUUACUCCAUAGUUGAGAAGGAUUGUGUACAGGAGUUCCUGAGUAGAUACUCAUCCUGGAGUCAAAUGAAGCGUGGAGUUGCCUGGUUGCUGAGAUAUAGAGACUACCUCUAUGCUCGUGCCAAGGGAAGACGGGAUGCCAGCGAAUUCUGUUGUAGGAGACUGUCUUUGUCAGAGCUGCAGAGAGCAGAGAGAGAAGUCGUCAAAUACACCCAGCGUCAGUCGUUCCGUAAGGAGAUUGCUGUACUUGAGGCUCAUGCAGAUAUAACCACCAAGAAGAGUAAGAAAGGUCCAAAUGCGCUCCACAAAUUGAGCCCCAUUUUGGUGGAUGGAAUUCUCCGUGUAGGUGGACGCCUUGAGAAUGCACCAAUCCAACAUGACAUCAAGCAUCCGAUUAUCCUGCCGAGCGAUCACCAGGUGACGAGGCUGCUGAUCGAACAUCAUCAUCUCAAGGUUGGUCAUUCAGGGGCAGGUAUGACAUGGACGUCACUAAGAGAGAGAUUUUGGAUACUGAAGGGAGGAUCUACAGUGAGGCGAGUGAUUGGAAAGUGUUUCCGUUGCAAGAAAAGAAAUGCACCCCUUUGUCAACAGCUGAUGGGUGAGCUGCCAGCAGAUAGAGUCACUCCAGAGAAGCCCCCCUUUACGUACGUGGGCGUGGAUUACUUCGGUCCACUUUACGUAAAACAAGGACGCAGCCAUGUCAAGAGAUACGGAUGUGUCUUCACGUGUCUUACCAUGAGGGCCAUACAUAUAGAAAUUGCUCACUCACUUGACACAGACGCCUUCAUAAACGCUUUGCGGCGGUUCAUCAGCAGGAGAGGUACACCAGAAAAGAUCAGGAGCGACAAUGGUACCAACUUCACGGGUGGAGAGCGCGAGUUGCGGGAGAGUAUUGCAUCACUGAACGAGCAGAAGAUUGGAGACUAUCUUCAUCAACGAGGAAUUGAGUGGCAAUUCAACCCACCAACGGCAAGUCAUAUGGGAGGAGUCUGGGAGCGGAUGAUACGCUCUAUUCGAAAAAUCCUCAAGAAUCUCCUUCAAGAACAGGUGGUAUGUGAUGAGGUGCUACUUACCGUGAUGGCUGAAGUGGAGGCUAUCUUAAACGCGAGACCGCUCACACAGCUCAGCUUGGACCCCCGUGACGAUGAGCCAUUGACUCCAAACCAUCUACUUCUGAUGAGACCAAGCUUCAAUGCUCCACCAGGGGUAUUUGUGAAGGAAGAUGGGUAUGGGCGGCGCAGAUGGCGUCAAGCGCAAUUCUUGGCAGACCAGUUUUGGAGGCGAUGGAAGAGGGAAUACCUACCACUUUUGCAGCAGCGUCAGAAAUGGACCCAGCCAAGACGAGACCUGGAGGUGAAUGACCUUGUGUUGGUUGCUGCUGACAACGAGCCCCGUGGACAGUGGCCUCUCGGUAGAGUGAUGCAAGUCUACCCAGAUAAGGAGGGACGAGUUCGCCAGGUCGAGGUGAGAGUAGGCACUAAGUACCUCAGGCGCCCCAUUGCCAAGCUUUGCUUCUUGGAAAGAGCUAACAGCAUGUGAAGUUUCAUCAGUCAAUGAACAUUUGUGAUUGAACUCUGGCCAAGUGAACAUUCGUGAUUUGUUAAUGAUCAAAGAAGUUGACUCUGAAUGUGAUUCAUGUUUUUCGAAAUCACAAUCAUUUGGAAAUUGUAGUGCAUUUAAUUAAUCCCUGAUGCUUUGAAAUUGAAGUGUGCCGCUUAAAGGUGUAGAAAAAUGAACAGAUCGAGUCAGUUCAUGGGGCUGGGGAUGUAGCGGCGAGUUGUGAAAUUUAAUUUGGGUUUAAAUCAUAGUUGUUAUUUCAAAGUGUUUUCUAAACUUUAAUUUAUGAUCACGCAUACCUUUGAUUGGAAAUAAGUUUGUUGCGGUAAAACUGUGCGUACGUUAAUUGUUCCCGUACUUUCGUAAUAGCGCCCUCUUGUGAUAUGGUGCAUUUUGUAAGGUCAAAGUGUAAAUUCUUCAUGAUUCCGAUGAUUCGUAAACAAUGAACGUGUACCAAAUUUAUCUCCCCAAAUAAAUGUAAAAUUAUCAGGUUUUCUAAGUCCCAAAUGUUGUAGUUUCGGAUCCAACACAAUCGUGAACCACCACCACCACCACCUCCAUAAGAACCAAAUACAGCAGCAAUAAAGUACAUGCCUCAGGGUGCGUUCAGAAAGGGACCGAAUAAAAACACUUCUGUAGCAAAUGACGUUUGCAA